This 377-nucleotide ribosomal RNA is filed under the name uncultured bacterium. Its description in RNAcentral is "bacterial SSU rRNA". It matches the Rfam family "Bacterial small subunit ribosomal RNA", at positions 521 to 896 of the family's 1533-position model. The record is from RNAcentral.
UAAGACAGAGGGUGCAAACGUUGCUCGGAUUUACUGGGCGUAAAGCGCGUGUAGGCGGGCGACUAAGUCGGAUGUGAAAUCCCUGGGCUCAACCUAGGAACUGCAUUCGAAACUGGUCACCUAGAGUGAUGGAGAGGAAAGCGGAAUUCCCGGUGUAGAGGUGAAAUUCGUAGAUAUCGGGAGGAACACCAGUGGCGAAGGCGGCUUUCUGGACAUUUACUGACGCUGAGACGCGAAAGCGUGGGGAGCAAACAGGAUUAGAUACCCUGGUAGUCCACGCUGUAAACGAUGAGUGCUGGGUGUUUCGGGUAUUGACCCCCGAGGCGCCGUAGCUAACGCGUUAAGCACUCCGCCUGGGGAGUACGGCCGCAAGGCUA